UACCCGCCGCACAAGUGGUGGUCAUUAUUAUUGGGCCUAAAGCGUCCGUAGCUGGCGUGUUAGAUGCCUGGGUAAAUCGAUGCGCUUAACGCAUCGAAUUCCGGGUAGACCGGCACGCUCGAGACCGGGAGAGGUAUGGGGUACUCGGGGGGUAGGGGUAAAAUCCUGUAAUCCUCCGGGGACGACCAGUGGCGAAGGCGCCAUACUAGAACGGCUCUGACAGUGAGGGACGAAGCCCUGGGGCGCAAACCGG
This 253-nucleotide ribosomal RNA is filed under the name uncultured bacterium. Its description in RNAcentral is "partial 16S ribosomal RNA". It matches the Rfam family "Archaeal small subunit ribosomal RNA", at positions 474 to 727 of the family's 1478-position model. The record is from RNAcentral.